This is a long non-coding RNA of Lactuca sativa (garden lettuce), 811 nucleotides long. RefSeq lists it as uncharacterized. The record is from RefSeq and is a predicted model, not a curated record. NCBI's taxonomy places the organism in Eukaryota, Viridiplantae, Streptophyta, Magnoliopsida, Asterales, Asteraceae.
CAAUAGAGAAACGACGAAGCAGGGGGGAAGAGGAACCAAUCAACGGCGACUCUUCGUGGUUCUCUCACGUCGUCGGUCGCAAUGAGGACCAAUGGCGAAGCGAUGACUGAAGGUGGCGAGAGGGAAGCUCGCAGGUGCGCUGUCUGCUAUUGCGGAUGUCGUGACCAAUCGCGAUCGUCUCUGGGGUUCAAAGAGGCUGAAGAGACGAAGGGAAAAAGGAGAGGUCGUCGUCUCCGGGGUCGGCGAGGCCGAAGCGAGGAAGACGUGAAGAGCAGCGAAGUUUCGCUCUUCCCCACCGGCUGUGAGGUACGAAGGAGGAAGGGAGGCAACGAGGCUGCAGUGGCCUCGGUGGGUGCAAAGAUGGAGUGAGACGCGAGGUAAGCUGAUUCAAUGGGGGCAAUCAGUCGAUGAUAGCAUCUCUGGUUCUUUGCUUGAUCGAGGAAGGAAAGACGAAGGCAGACGAGUAUUUAGCUGGUGAUUCUUCAACAGGUAAUGAACGGAAUUAACAGAAUUCAAAGGAGGAACAAAAUGGAUAUUUGGGUUUGAUUUUUCACACGAUUUGAUUAGGGCUGUUGCUGUUUUGACAAGAUAAACAGGAAAACGGAUGAGAAAAGGGGUGUUUUUGGCUGGUAUGAUCUACGGGAACAAGUGGAGAGUUGCAGUCGAUUGAAGAACCAUGGAAGAUGGAGUGAAUACGAAGGACACCGUAUGAGUGUAGAAUUGUCUAAAAAUCUGAAUUUGUGUAGAUUUUAAUAGAUUAAAAAUGAUUUUGUUGUACAAGAUUGGAUUUAUAAAGAUAUUUGUUGUAAAA